RNAcentral lists this long non-coding RNA (296 nucleotides) under Capsicum annuum. RNAcentral describes it as "long non-coding RNA (CANN_LNC010200)". The record is from RNAcentral. Lineage: Eukaryota; Viridiplantae; Streptophyta; Magnoliopsida; Solanales; Solanaceae.
AAGCAUCCCUAUUUCUAGGAUGAUGCUCUUGAAAUGAUUUACACCCCCCAAACACUUAUUUCUGAGAUAGCAAAGGGUAGUAAAUCUUAGGAUUAGUUUUUCACAUAUGGGUUAACUAAUAUUCACCUAAAUCCCUCUUUCGAGGAUGACAAAGGGUUUCUAGAGCAUGGAGAUUUCACUCAUCAAACCCAUUUGGAUAUUUUGAGUUUUCACCCAUAAAAUUCUACCUCAUAAGCUCAACCAAUGGUGAAAUCCAUACGCAAUAACUAAAAGCUAUGAGAACACCACAAUACCCA